RNAcentral lists this transfer RNA (90 nucleotides) under Planctomycetota bacterium. RNAcentral's name for it is "Planctomycetes bacterium (anaerobic digester metagenome) tRNA-Ser". It matches the Rfam family "tRNA". Rfam says of the family: Transfer RNA (tRNA) molecules are approximately 80 nucleotides in length. The record is from RNAcentral. Lineage: Bacteria; Pseudomonadati; Planctomycetota.
GGAGAGGUGGCCGAGUGGCUGAAGGCACCGGUUUGCUAAACCGGCGUACGGCGUAAAGCCGUACCGCGGGUUCGAAUCCCGCCCUCUCCG